RNAcentral lists this ribosomal RNA (228 nucleotides) under uncultured bacterium. RNAcentral describes it as "partial 16S ribosomal RNA". It matches the Rfam family "Bacterial small subunit ribosomal RNA", at positions 15 to 236 of the family's 1533-position model. The record is from RNAcentral.
GAUCAUGGUUCAGGAUGAACGCUAGCUACAGGCUUAACACAUGCAAGUCGAGGGGCAGCAUGACGGAAGCUUGCUUUCGUUGAUGGCGACCGACGCACGGGUGAGUAACGCGUAUCCAACCUGCCCUUGUCCAUCGGAUAACCCGUCGAAAGGCGGACUAACACGAUAUGCAGUUCUCAGCAGGCAUCUAACGAGAACGAAAUGUGAAGGAGAAGGAUGGGGAUGCGU